AUUGAACGCUGGCGGCAUGCCUUACACAUGCAGGUCGAACGGUAACGGGCCUUCGGGUGCCGACGAGUGGCGAACGGGUGCGUAAUACAUCGGAACGUGCCCGAUCGUGGGGGAUAACGAGGCGAAAGCUUUGCUAAUACCGCAUACGAUCUACGGAUGAAAGCAGGGGACCGCAAGGCCUUGCGCGGACGGAGCGGCCGAUGGCAGAUUAGGUAGUUGGUGGGAUAAAAGCUUACCAAGCCGACGAUCUGUAGCUGGUCUGAGAGGAUGAUCAGCCACACUGGGACUGAGACACGGCCCAGACUCCUACGGGAGGCAGCAGUGGGGAAUUUUGGACAAUGGGCGCAAGCCUGAUCCAGCCAUGCCGCGUGCAGGAUGAAGGCCUUCGGGUUGUAAACUGCUUUUGUACGGAACGAAAAGCCUUCUUUUAAUACAGGAGGGUCAUGACGGUACCGUAAGAAUAAGCACCGGCUAACUACGUG
Molecule: ribosomal RNA, 482 nt
Filed under: uncultured bacterium
Lineage: Bacteria
Description: partial 16S ribosomal RNA
Rfam family: Bacterial small subunit ribosomal RNA
Source: RNAcentral